AGCAGCCGCGGUAAUUCCAGCUCCAAUAGCGUAUAUUAAAGUUGUUGCAGUUAAAAAGCUCGUAGUUGAAUUUCGGGGUUAGCAGGUCGGUCGUGCCAUCGGUAUGAACUGGUCUCGCUGAUCCCUCCCUCUUGACGAACUGUGAUGCCAUUAAUUUGGUGUCGCAGGGAAUCAGGACUGUUACUUUGAAAAAAUUAGAGUGUUUAAAGCAGGCUCACGCUUGAAUACAUUAGCAUGGAAUAAUGAAAUAGGACGUUUGAUCCUAUUUUGUUGGUUUCUAGGAUUGACGUAAUGAUUAAUAGGGAUAGUUGGGGGCAUUAGUAUUCAAUUGUCAGAGGUGAAAUUCUUGGAUUUAUUGAAGACUAACUACUGCGAAAGCAUUUGCCAAGGAUGUUUUCGUUAAUCAAGAACGAAAGUUAGGGGAUCGAAGACGAUCAGAUACCGUCGUAGUCUUAACCAUAAACUAUGCCGACUAGGGAUCGGAUGAUGUUAAUUUUUUAAUGACUCAUUCGGCGCCUUACG
This 522-nucleotide ribosomal RNA is filed under the name uncultured Glomeraceae. Its description in RNAcentral is "SSU rRNA". It matches the Rfam family "Eukaryotic small subunit ribosomal RNA", at positions 569 to 1092 of the family's 1831-position model. The record is from RNAcentral. Lineage: Eukaryota; Fungi; Glomeromycota; Glomeromycetes; Glomerales; Glomeraceae.